UAAUACGGAGGGUGCAAGCGUUAAUCGGAAUUACUGGGCGUAAAGCGCACGCAGGCGGUUUGUUAAGUCAGAUGUGAAAUCCCCGGGCUCAACCUGGGAACUGCAUUUGAAACUGGCAAGCUAGAGUCUCGUAGAGGGGGGUAGAAUUCCAGGUGUAGCGGUGAAAUGCGUAGAGAUCUGGAGGAAUACCGGUGGCGAAGGCGGCCCCCUGGACGAAGAUUGACGCUCAGGUGCGAAAGCGUGGGGAGCAAACAGGAUUAGAUACCCUGGUAGUCCACGCUGUAAACGAUGUCGAUUUGGAGGUUGUGCCCUUGAGGCGUGGCUUCCGGAGCUAACGCGUUAAAUCGACCGCCUGGGGAGUACGGCCGCAAGGUUA
RNAcentral lists this ribosomal RNA (376 nucleotides) under uncultured Serratia sp. Its description in RNAcentral is "bacterial SSU rRNA". It matches the Rfam family "Bacterial small subunit ribosomal RNA", at positions 521 to 896 of the family's 1533-position model. Lineage: Bacteria; Pseudomonadati; Pseudomonadota; Gammaproteobacteria; Enterobacterales; Yersiniaceae. The record is from RNAcentral.